UGCAGCUCCUGGCUCUGCCCCCUCUGCCUCUGACCUGCCUAACGUCUACUGACAUCAUCAGAAGUGGUGGUCUGAGCCAAUCACAAUGCUUCCACAUAGGAUUGGCUGAGAUUAUCAGUGAGGCAGAUCAGGGGCAGAGCCAGCACAAGUCAAACACAGCCCUGGCCAAUCAGCAUCUCCUCAUAGAGAUACAUUGAAUCAGUGAAUCUCUAUGAGGAAAGUUC
Molecule: non-coding RNA, 224 nt
Organism: Pelobates cultripes (western spadefoot toad)
Lineage: Eukaryota; Metazoa; Chordata; Amphibia; Anura; Pelobatidae
Source: the annotation of a GenBank genome assembly